AAUGCAGGAUUCAGAACUUUGGGGUGAUAUUUUCAUAUAUUGCCGGUUACCCAGAUGACUAUGUAAAAGAAAUCAAAUUGAUCCCUAAAAGUAUGAAAUUGUUUCAUUUGUUGUUUUUUGGUUUUUUUUUUCAUAGCUCUCUGCAACAGACAAUCUAUCCAGCAAAACAAUAUCAAAAAAUUAAAAGGCAAACUGGGAGUAGAAAUCCUGGUCAUAGGAUGCAAAAGUGAAACUAUAUUAAUAUUUCAGAGACAUCUACGAAUUGUACAGUCAGAAUACCUCCACUACUAUUCUACAAGGAAUAUGCAGCAAGAGACGACAGUGCUUCCACCCAUGAAAAAGCUAUGAACUCCACAGUAUCUGCUCUGGCAUGCCAGCUGGCCUCUCCACACAUGUCUUCUGUCUUGCUCAUCAGCACGUGUGGAACAGAGAUGUGUGCUGUAACCUGGGAAGGAGGAAGAUACAAAGAUUUCAAAGCAAUAAGCACAAACAUGGACUCAGCAUUUUGAGAAAACAUUAAAUACCCCUUCUGUCACCUACUUUCCCCAGAUGUGAAUUCCUACCCUUUUGCUGGAAAUCUCAAGGUAGGUGAGAAGGUGGAUAUCUUACUAUCAGGAGUGUG
This 622-nucleotide long non-coding RNA is filed under the name Cyanistes caeruleus (blue tit). Its description in RNAcentral is "lncRNA (ENSCCEG00000000470.1)". Lineage: Eukaryota; Metazoa; Chordata; Aves; Passeriformes; Paridae. The record is from RNAcentral.